Papaver somniferum (opium poppy) is the source of this 3532-nucleotide RNA transcript. RefSeq lists it as uncharacterized. The record is from RefSeq and is a predicted model, not a curated record. The transcript has 5 exons. Lineage: Eukaryota; Viridiplantae; Streptophyta; Magnoliopsida; Ranunculales; Papaveraceae.
UUGGAACCCCUAGAUAUUAUCUCUGAAGUGAAAAGCAUCCAAAAUUCCUGAAUCCAUUUCGUAAAAUCUUUCUAAUGACCACCACUACCAGAACUCAAUUUUCUUUUCGAUCCAAACCCUAAUAUUAUCUCCGACUCUGAAGUGAAAACCAUUCCAAAUUCCUGAAUCAAUUUCGUAAUUUUUUUCUAGUUUCUUUAAAAUUUCUUUGCAAUUUCAAUUUUUAAUGUAUGAGAUUCGAGCACGAUUGGUUCAUCAUGAGCAGGAAAGUUAUGUAAUGAUUUGGACAUUCGGUUUGGGCGGAAUCGGAAAAGGAUACUGUUUACCAAAGGACAGCUACGGGAUCAUUCACUUAUUCUGUUGAUGGUGGAUCGUUCAUCCGUAGUAUCUUGGCCUGUUCUAUGGCAUAAACAUACCCGAUCUACUAUUCUUUUUGCGUCAGGAAUAUUAUUUUUUUUCAAUUUCCAAGGUUUGCUUUCUUUUCUAUUUCGAAUUUCUCCCUUUUAGGUUGAUUUUGGUAUUUGUGGAUCUAGAUUCAUUUUGUUGCUGUUUUAGAGAGAUUCAUGUGUUGUGUAUUGCCUGGGGGUGAAGCAUUUAGGGAUUUUUGCUUAUUUCUAUUUUAAAUUACCCUUUUUCAAUUUUGUUGUUAAUGUCCAUAAUUCAUAGUUGGUAGCUUUGGUGUAUUCAUGUCAUUUUGAUUUUUAUUGUAUCUGUGUGCAUAUCAAUGGAUUCCUUCUGAAUUUGUAAUUUUGAGUUAUUAUAGAUCUAUUAAGUUUUUACAUUAAUAGAUUUUUAGUUAAUAGAGCUAAGAUUGGGUCUUCUUCCCGGUGGUUUCCUUAAAUCAUCAUAGAUUAACAAGAAGAGGGCAUUUUCCGAAACGGUUCACAUACCUUACCUAUAUAUACAGGAAGGAGUUACAGUGGAUCUUGAGGAAGAAAAAGUGCAGUAAUGUUGAUAAAAUUAUUCCAUUUUCUUUUGGAUACUUGGCAUGCCUCUACGGGUCUAUGAAUGCAGAUGGAUCCGUGUCAUGCAAGCUUUUCUUAUUUGAAAAAUGACAGAAAGAAUCAAAUAAUAGAUCUUAUCAGUUGCGGAUUCCAGUGUCCUAUGUGUGACAGACAUGACAAAUUGGAGAAAUGUUCAAAUAUACUGUUGCCCAACAAGCAAAGCUUAGAGAAUUGCUCCGACCAUCACUUAGAUAUUCUAUUGUCUCUAUUUCCUGAACUUCUUUAUGAUGAUUCAUCUGAAGAGGCUCAGGCUGCAUGUAUGAGAGUUAUUCCGCGGAUCCUCAUGCACACGCCUCAAGACUUUCUUAAGACAAAGCAUAAGUUCACUAAGGAAACUGAUAUGGCGUCACUACUUUCUAUGCUACCAGGAGUCUUUGCUCUUGCACUUCUCCAAGAUAAUAAAGGGCAGCAAGACUACAGCAGUAUACACCAUCUCCUAAGAAACAAACUCAAAACGAACAAAAACAGGUUGGAGCAACCUGAAAGUGCUGGACCUAUGGGUCAAAAUAUCUCAUUGCGAUCUGACAAACCAGUACUACCUCAAACUGCAGUCUAAGAGAGUUGCUGAUAAUGCUAAACCGGCACGAAAGGGAGUAAAGCAGAAAUUGGGAUCAGGCCAUGUCCCAAUGUUCGAAUCAGGGAUGUGGAUGAUACUUUUUUAGAUAUGGAGGCAGGAUUUGAAGAUUUACAGUCCGACAUAGCUACAGAAGAGGAAAAGAUGGGGUUGGAAAGUGAUAUAAUGAUGUGGUAGAAGAAGACAUGGGAAUGGAGAAUGAUGUCGGUGUUACUGCUGAUAAGGAUACGGUCAGGCAACACCAUGAUAAAUUCCGAGGCAAGGAAGGUGCAAUCAUUAAAUUCAAGGCACCGAGAUAAGGGACGGGACUAUUAAAUCUCCGGUCGUAGUAGCAGCUGUUGACAUGGCUGUGCUCAAGGACGCUGUUGCUUUUGGAAAACAAGAAAACAGGCUAGAAGAGCAUCCCGUGUUUGUCGGACUGGUUUUCCUCGGGUUUUACGGCUAUGACAGUGACAUAUCUGUUGUUACCACAGAGUACAUGUUGUUUUGCAAAUACCAGAUGUGGACGAGUCCAUUUCCAGUGGUAGCUGGUAUUACCUCAAGCCUUGUCUGACGUCUUAAGCCCGUAAUGAGUAUAAUUGCAAGUUUCUAUUGUCAUGGUUAGAUUGGAUUAUGGCAAACUUUGGAGUGUUUUUGCCAUGUGGCCUGCACAUCUUCAUCAUUCUCAUUUAAAGUCCAUUUCCAGUGGUAGCUGGCAUUACCUCAAGCCUUGUCUGACGUCUUAAGCCCGUAAUGUGUAUAAUUGCAAGUUUCUAUUGUCAUGGUUAGAUUGGAUUAUGGCAAAACUUUUGGAGUGUUUUUGCCAUGUGGCCUGCACAUCUUCAUCAUUCUCAUUUAAAGUCAAACACUCCUACAUCUCCUGCAUCAACAAGAGGAUCCUGACUUGGAAAGAAAUAUUUUAAUUACUUGAAAAGGAAGUACAAAUGGGUUCUAUAUUGAUUUUGACAUUUGGCAUGAGCGGAAUCGGAAAUGGAGAUUUUGUAUCAGAUUAUGUUGUUGGGUUUAUGAGGUCCAAGGUCUGUAAACCUAAGGAAAAUGGUGGGUUAGGCAUUCACAGCUUGAAAUUGGUGACAGUCUUGUGAGUAAGAUUUAAUGUCCUGCUGCAUCAGCAGUACAUUUAUCAGUAACAAUUUUGACCAGCUGAGUAAGUUAUAUGGUCGACAUCUUCGAUGAAGGUUUCGCAUAAGAUCCAUUAGAUAAUAGGAUAAUACCGAUUGUUGUAAUUAAACAAUGUUGUACUAGGUAGAGAUGAUUGAACACACUAGAACCUCCACACUCUGUUUCUUCUUUAAUUCCUUCAUGAUAACCUUACAGAAAAGAUCACAACAAUACGAAGAAACCCUAAAAUGAAAGCAACUAACACACCACAAAUUCAACAAUUAAGUUAGAUCAAAGAACUGUUUAACUAAAAAUAAUAACUCUCUUAGUUUAUUACUUUCAGCAUCCUAUCCUCAGAUACAAGCAGCCACCAGCAGGUACACACGACCAAAUGCUACUGAUAAUAAUCCCCACUCCCCUAGUUAAAUGACUACUUGUGCUUCAUGUUUUAUCUUUUCUAAUUCAUAUAGGGAUGUAUAAUACAGCAAGUAACUUGUUUGUACCAGAACAGGGACGAACACAAAAAUCUUGUAUGGGUAGGGCUGGAAUACCGGCAGUUGGCAAUGCGGCCGAAGGGCGCAAUUAUUUUUCGAACGAAUCGAAUAAUAACUCAUAUUUACAAUUGAAAUACUAGACAGAUAGACAAAUGAUCAAAAGGUAAGCAAGAUGUAUGGCGAACGCGAUUGGACAAAGAAAUUUCUGAAUUAGGGAAAAAAACGAAAAAAUAAUUAUGUUUUAAAGAAGAUUUUUGUCUUAGUUUUCUCAUAACAUCGGGUAAAUACUCCAAAAAAGAACAAAAACAUGGGCUAAAGCUAAUUAGGCAAAGAAAAUACAUUAGCUAAGUUCAAUUAGGGGAGGG